Molecule: long non-coding RNA, 366 nt
Filed under: Hordeum vulgare
Lineage: Eukaryota; Viridiplantae; Streptophyta; Magnoliopsida; Poales; Poaceae
Description: long non-coding RNA (HVUL_LNC013608)
Source: RNAcentral
GGGGAGUCUUGUUUUACAGUUAUGUUUUCGAUUUAAGCAUGGAACUGGGCAUUCCAAUUACCGGCCCCUUUCUCGUGAAUGACAGUGAAUAAACACAUGUCGAGGAUAACACUCCUAGCAUGGAAGAUACCAAUAGCCCCUGUCACCACAUGAGCGGUUCGGGCAUGCAAAACAGAUUAUUUCUUGAAGGUUUAGAGAGUGGCACAUGCAAAUUUACUUGGAACGGCAGGUAGAUACCGCAAAUAGGUAGGUAUGGUGGACUCUCAUGGAAAAACUUUUGGGUUUAUGGAAGUGGAUGCACAAGCAGUAUUCCGCUUAGUACAAGUGAAGGCUAGCAAAAGACUGGGAAGCGACCAACUAGAGAGC